AUGGCAAAAUAUUGGUGGAGCAGCUCUAUUGACAGGCGGUCCUUGCACUAGUUGUCAUGGGAGAAUUUGUCAACACCAAAGAUUCAAGGGGGCAUGGGGUUCAGAGAGCUCGAAAAGUUCAAUCUGGCGCUCCUGGGGAAGCACGGCUGGCGACUCAUAACCCAUCCCAACUCCCUCUGCUCCCGAGUUCUCAAAGGGAAAUACUUCCCGGACUGCGAUUUUCUGCAAGCCAAUGCUCCAACCACUUCAUCAGCAACCUGGAAAGCAAUCAUUGCGGGGAGAAAGGCUUUGCAAACUGGUUUGAUCAAACGAGUUGGUAAUGGAGAUUCUAUCUCCAUAUGGAACGAUUCAUGGAUCCCCACCACUUCCACCCUCAAACCCAUGGGGAAGAUAGGGAAUGACCCGCUUCAGUGGGUCUCUAAACUCAUCGACGAGAGUAGGGGAACCUGGGAUAUCGAAAUAGUACGUCGGAAUUUUCUUGCACCUGAUGCGGAGGCCGUACUUAACAUUCCUAUCCGACACAAUGGUGGAGAAGAUUUCCUGGCUUGGGCCUUUGAAAGAUCCGGUGAGUACACUGUAAAAUCAGCUUAUCGUGCUCUUGUGACUCGGAACGAGCGUCGAGCUCUAGAGGAAGGGACGAUAGUGGGAACAUCAGCUUCGCACAAAUAG
RNAcentral lists this ribosomal RNA (669 nucleotides) under Triticum aestivum (bread wheat). RNAcentral describes it as "partial small subunit ribosomal RNA". Lineage: Eukaryota; Viridiplantae; Streptophyta; Magnoliopsida; Poales; Poaceae. The record is from RNAcentral.